Molecule: ribosomal RNA, 253 nt
Filed under: uncultured bacterium
Lineage: Bacteria
Description: partial 16S ribosomal RNA
Rfam family: Bacterial small subunit ribosomal RNA
Source: RNAcentral
UACGAAGGGGGCUAGCGUUGUUCGGAAUUACUGGGCGUAAAGCGCAUGUAGGCGGUUAUCCAAGUCGGGUGUGAAAGCCUUGAGCUCAACUCAAGAAAUGCACUCGGUACUGGGUGACUAGAGGACCGGAGAGGAUAGUGGAAUUCCCAGUGUAGUGGUGAAAUACGUAGAGAUUGGGAAGAACACCAGUGGCGAAGGCGGCUAUCUGGACGGUUUCUGACGCUAAGACGCGAAAGCGUGGGGAGCAAACAGG